GUGGCUUGGCGGCAGCUAUACAUGCAGUCGAGCGAAUGGAUUAAGAGCUUGCUCUUAUGAAGUUAGCGGCGGACGGGUGAGUAACACGUGGGUAACCUGCCCAUAAGACUGGGAUAACUCCGGGAAACCGGGGCUAAUACCGGAUAACAUUUUGAACCGCAUGGUUCGAAAUUGAAAGGCGGCUUCGGCUGUCACUUAUGGAUGGACCGCGUCGCAUUAGCUAGUUGGUGAGGUAACGGCUCACCAAGGCAACGAUGCGUAGCCGACCUGAGAGGGUGAUCGGCCACACUGGGACUGAGACACGGCCCAGCUCCUACGGGAGGCAGCAGUAGGGAAUCUUCCGCAAUGGACGAAAGUCUGACGAGCAACGCCGCGUGAGUGAUGAAGGCUUUCGGGUCGUAAAACUCUGUUGUUAGGGAAGAACAAGUGCUAGUUGAAUAAGCUGGCACCUUGACGGUACCUAACCGAAAGCCACGGCUAACUACGUGCCAGCAGCCGCGGUAAUACGUAGGUGGCAAGCGUUAUCCGGAAUUAUUGGGCGUAAAGCGCGCGCAGGUGGUUUCUUAGUCUGAUGUGAAAGCCCACGGCUCAACCGUGGAGGGUCAUUGGAAACUGGGAGACUUGAGUGCAGAAGAGGAAAGUGGAAUUCCAUGGUGUAGCGGGUGGAAAGCGUAGAGAUAUGGAGGGAACACCAGUGGGCGGAAGGGCGACUUUUCUGGUCUGUA
This 725-nucleotide ribosomal RNA is filed under the name Bacillus cereus. RNAcentral's name for it is "bacterial SSU rRNA". It matches the Rfam family "Bacterial small subunit ribosomal RNA", at positions 32 to 738 of the family's 1533-position model. Lineage: Bacteria; Bacillati; Bacillota; Bacilli; Caryophanales; Bacillaceae. The record is from RNAcentral.